GGAAGGGGCAGGUGGGACGGGAGAGGACAGUGCAGGAGAGCGUCUGGAAGAGAGAUGACUGCCCCGAGGGGGUAGGGAGGGUGGACAGCAGGACCCAGGACUCUGUGCAGGUCCAGACUGAGGGCGGUGGUGUCGGGAGUGGGUCUGGCAGGGAGUGGGUCUGGCAGGUGCGGGGGCAAGAGGGUGGGAAGAAGGUGAGAGUGCUGCGGUGAAAGAAAAA
Long non-coding RNA from Aethalodelphis obliquidens (Pacific white-sided dolphin), 220 nucleotides. RefSeq lists it as uncharacterized. NCBI's taxonomy places the organism in Eukaryota, Metazoa, Chordata, Mammalia, Artiodactyla, Delphinidae. The record is from RefSeq and is a predicted model, not a curated record. The transcript has 3 exons.